Molecule: long non-coding RNA, 3112 nt
Organism: Pangasianodon hypophthalmus (striped catfish)
Lineage: Eukaryota; Metazoa; Chordata; Actinopteri; Siluriformes; Pangasiidae
Exons: 3
Source: RefSeq, a predicted model, not a curated record
GACCAAGUACAAAUGACAGUAAGCCUGAGACCAAGGCUUCUGUCCAAGUCAUUUUUAAAUGAGUCGAUUCUACACUCUGACUGGUGCAAGAUGCUGAAGGCAGCAUGGCAAUUUCCACCGUGAAAGCUGUGCCAUCGUUAUGAUGACACUUUUUCUGUCAGUGAGUAUGGAUGGGAUGACAGGUCAUUGCAGGGUACCAUGCACAAACACAUUCACACCUGGGGCAAUUUCUCUUAGCCAACCCACCUAUGUUUUCGGGAGGUGGGAGGAAAACUGAGAACUUGGAGGAAACCCAUGUGGACAUGAGAAGAACAUGCACAGACAUUCCACACAGUCAGUAACCCCAUCUUAGGAUCAAACCCAGGACCCUGGCGCUGUGAGGUGGCAAUGUUAAUUAAUCUGAAUUAUUUAUAAUUACAAAAUUAUUCAUUAAAAUAAUUUUGUAUUAUAUAGGCAUUUCAAGUUCUUACUCAGUUUUUGCUCUCUAGAUAGUGUCCUUUCAGCACAAAAUAUGACCGAAACAAACAAAAAAAAAGUGAACAUGACCAAAGACCAAUGCUAUGCUUUUAACUGCCUUUUGCUAUUUUGUGUAUUAUAUAUAUAUAAAUACACGUCCCAAAGUGUUUUAUUUCUCAUAUACCAUAGCAUUUUGUCUUUUUAGUUAUUAAAGAAAGACAUGUCAUACUUAUCCAUUUUAUCCAUUUACUGUAUAGUUAUAAUGCAAUGGUGUGGAAUGUCUAUUAAACAAGUUAGUUCUUGUUAUCACGUCAUAGCAGCUAUAAACAGUCGUUCCUUAACCAGCUGCUCUUUUUCUCUCUAUUGACGUUCUGACCAAUUUGAAUUGAGAAUUCAACAGCACUGUGGUAUAAUAUAAAAUAAGCUAUUUGCCUAUUAUUAUUAUUUUUUAUUUUGUGGCAAGGAAAAUCAAUUUGUGAAUUAAAGCAGCAUUUUACUAAUCACCUCACAACCUUCAGAUAACUCCCAAUUUCACAGGUCCUGUAAAGUGAUGAGAAACAGACACAGGUACUCAGUUUGGGUAUAUCUAGCUCUGGAUUCAGGUUUAAUAACCGCACUGUCUGGUGGAAAAGUGCUGUCCCUGAUAGAAAAAAAAAAAAACAAUAAAAACCCUCAUAGAAUUUGUAAUGGUUAUAAUGGGAAAAUUUAUUGGUUUUAAUGGAAACUGUAAUGGUCCCUGUGGCUUUCUACUAGUAAUUUGUUGCCUUCUAUUGGUGGCAUGUUAUGUUUAGUGGAUACCAUUAAGGACCAAUAAUAGUAAUGGUAAUGCUUUUAAUGGUUAGCUGAUGGUUUGUAAUGGUAUUUGUAGUGGAAACCAUUAAAAAUCUCUCUCUCUCUCUCUCUCUCUCUCUCUCUCUCUGUCAAGCUACACUUGCUACUCCUGAGAUACCAGUGAUCCUGACCCCUUCUGCUCUCAGGAUCUGCCUGAUCCAUCCUGAUGCCCUACUUCAGUUGGAAAUCACUCGCUGAGGACGGCCCCACAUGGACAGCCUAAAGCUCAGUGAGAUUACUGAGGAUGGUACCACAUAGAAACCAUGCAGAUGGCUUUGGACCACAAUUCAUAUGAACAGUUAUGCUAUGAUGGCUUAGGACUACGAUUGCCAUGCUAGCUUUAGGACUGCAAUUCCCAUGAACAGUUUUGCACUCAAGUCUCCAUCAAUGAACAGUGGAUAAGUUCAACAAAACAGACUUCAUGUGAAAACUGUAAUGAAUUUCCUGGUUACACAAUUUCACUAUUUAUCCAUGUAGUACACAGUUAUAGAAGGGAUUUAUUUAUAUUAAUUUAUUUAGAUUAUAUUAUAUUUAUUUCUAAUUGCACUAUCCGGAGUCACCCAGAUGAUGAUGGGUUCCCUACUGAGUCUGGCUCCUCUCAAGUUUUCUUCCUCAUGUCUUCUCAGGGUGUUUUUCUUUGCCACCGUCGCUUCUGGCUUGCUCAUUAGGGAUAUAGUUAUACAUUUAAAAUUUAUAUCCUGAACGUAUUUAUUUCAGUAAAGCUGCAUUGUGACAAUGUCUAGUGUUUGAACUGAAGAAUUCCUGUGAUGGUUUCAGCGAGGGUAAGUGACCUGUAUCAUCAUUUAUGGGUACACGCCUGUGGGGUUAGUCAGUCUCAGACCUGUGAGUCUAAUAUAUCAGGUGUUUCACUCCACCACUUCCUGCCUAAAAUCCUGAUUUCAGCUCUGAUAAACAGCUCCCAAGUCCAAUAUACAGGAGUCCAGUAGAGCUGUCUAUAGGGUUGAUGGAAACUGAAUUCAGGUUACCAUUUACCUGUAUGCUUUACAACAGACCACAAGGGUUUACUGUUCAUAAUAGCCUUAAAGCUGAAAUGAACACUUCUACCAACAAACUACAAAAAAAAACUUCAACUAAGCUAGCUAGGAUAGGAAGAUAUUGAAUUAAGGUAAGCUUCAUUUCAAAAUUAGCCACAUUUUGGCUAACCUAAGGCAAGGUUUAUACUGUAAAACUUGAUGUUUGUUAUUUUCUUCGUGAAACGCAUUCAGUCAAACAGUACUAUCACAAUCUUAGCUUUACAUCUCCAUUUUUUUUUUCACUCGUCUUCCGGGAAAUCCCGUUUGCGGCACUAUGAUUGGCUGGUAGUCCAUACACACAAGUCCUGCUCCAAUUGGACACUGUCACUGCGAUUAUGAAGAUGAUGCAGUAGCCAAUCAUAUUACAGGAGGCGGGAUUUUUAGGAAAAUACCACGAAAAUAUCGCACCUCAUAUUUAGCCAUUAGCUUUAUUAUAGCGUUAUGUGGUUGACAGCUAGAGUCAAUGCGCGACAUUUUUUGGCGAUGAUGGCCGUGUCAGCUGAUUCGGAGCGUUUGGCCUCUUUGGACUCGUUGGUGUGAUACGUCCCCUUGUGCCGGAACAUGUAGCGUAUCAGGAACAACAGAAUGCACAGGAUGGUGAAGAUGACCACAGCAAUGAUGCCUAAAUCAAGAACAGAGAAUAUGGAAACGUCCACAGAAAUAUUGCUGACGUAACUAACAGGUGCCAGGGGUCGGUGGCAGCUGACAUUGGGGAAAUGGUGAGAGGUGAUGAGCCACAGUUGGAUUCAACCAGUUUGCCUUGGUGUGACACUGGCAGAGAGAGCUGGGGG